Molecule: small RNA, 868 nt
Filed under: Pongo abelii (Sumatran orangutan)
Lineage: Eukaryota; Metazoa; Chordata; Mammalia; Primates; Hominidae
Description: retained intron
Source: RNAcentral
CCUUGAUAUCAGUCCCCAGCUUCCAGCUCUCUUCCCCUGAACAGCUAGGAGCCAAUCCUUUGGUUCCAGAAGAAAUCAUAUAGUUUCUUCAACCCUCUUUCCUUCCCUCCCUAGAACAUGUUGUUCCUUUGUCCUCCCUCCAGCAGGUAAACAAUCCAUGUUUUUAUUCUCUUUCCUGUCCCCCACUUCCUCUUCCCUAUCAAGUUCAUGGAAUGUCUGAUGAUUGGUCGGGAUCUCGUAAGACUACUUCAGAAUGUUGCUAGGAUACCAGAAUUUGAACUGCUUUGGAAAGAUAUUAUCCAUAAUCCUCAGGCCUUGAGUCCUCAGUUCACAGGUAUCCUACAGCUUCUUCAGUCAAGAACAUCCCGAAAAUUCCUAGCAUGUCGUCUAACCCCAGACAUGGAGACUAAACUCCUCUUCAUGACAUCCCGGGUGCGAUUUGGUCAACAAAAGCGAUACCAAGAUUGGUUCCAGCGCCAGUACCUGUCAACUCCAGAUAGUCAGUCUCUGCGCUGUGACCUCAUUCGCUACAUCUGUGGGGUAGUCCACCCUUCUAAUGAAGUACUGAGUUCAGAUAUCUUGCCCCGGUGGGCCAUCAUUGGUUGGCUCCUGACAACGUGCACGUCAAAUGUCGCUGCCUCCAAUGCCAAGCUGGCUUUGUUUUACGACUGGCUGUUCUUUAGUCCAGACAAGGAUAGCAUUAUGAACAUAGAACCAGCCAUCCUGGUCAUGCACCACUCCAUGAAGCCCCACCCAGCCAUCACUGCCACACUCCUGGAUUUCAUGUGCCGCAUCAUUCCCAACUUCUAUCCACCAUUGGAGGGCCAUGUGCGGCAGGGUGUCUUUUCCUCCCUCAACCACAUUGUGG